This 492-nucleotide ribosomal RNA is filed under the name uncultured bacterium. RNAcentral's name for it is "partial 16S ribosomal RNA". It matches the Rfam family "Bacterial small subunit ribosomal RNA", at positions 29 to 507 of the family's 1533-position model. The record is from RNAcentral.
AGUGAACGCUGGCGGUAGGCCUAACACAUGCAAGUCGAACGGCAGCACAGUAAGAGCUUGCUCUUACGGGUGGCGAGUGGCGGACGGGUGAGGAAUACAUCGGAAUCUACUUUUUCGUGGGGGAUAACGUAGGGAAACUUACGCUAAUAUCGCAUACGACCUACGGGUGAAAGCAGGGGAUCUUCGGACCUUGCGCGAUUGAACGAGCCGAUGUCGGAUUAGCUAGUUGGCGGGGUAAAGGCCCACCAAGGCGCCGAUCCGUAGCUGGUGUGAGUGGAUGAUCAGCCACACUAGAAGUUAAACACGGUCCAGGGGCCUGCGGGAGGCCGCAGUGGGGAAUAGGGGACAGUAGGCGCAAGCCUGAUCCAGCCAGACCGCGUGUGUGAAGAAGGCCUUCGGGUUGUAAAGCCCUUUUGUUGGGAAAGAACAGCAUCAGGUUAAGACCCCGCUGUUCUGACGGUACCCAAAGAAUAAGCACCGGCUAACUUCGCG